Molecule: ribosomal RNA, 465 nt
Filed under: Vreelandella stevensii
Lineage: Bacteria; Pseudomonadati; Pseudomonadota; Gammaproteobacteria; Oceanospirillales; Halomonadaceae
Description: partial 16S ribosomal RNA
Rfam family: Bacterial small subunit ribosomal RNA
Source: RNAcentral
CCUACGGGCGGCAGCAGUGGGGAACAUUGGACAAUGGGCGAAAGCCUGAUCCAGCCAUGCCGCGUGUGUGAAGAAGGCCUUCGGGUUGUAAAGCACUUUCAGUGGGGAAGAAAGCCUUGGGGCUAAUACCCUCGAGGAAGGACAUCACCCACAGAAGAAGCACCGGCUAACUCCGUGCCAGCAGCCGCGGUAAUACGGAGGGUGCGAGCGUUAAUCGGAAUUACUGGGCGUAAAGCGCGCGUAGGCGGUCUGAUAAGCCGGUUGUGAAAGCCCCGGGCUCAACCUGGGAACGGCAUCCGGAACUGUCAGGCUAGAGUGCAGGAGAGGAAGGUAGAAUUCCCGGUGUAGCGGUGAAAUGCGUAGAGAUCGGGAGGAAUACCAGUGGCGAAGGCGGCCUUCUGGACUGACACUGACGCUGAGGUGCGAAAGCGUGGGUAGCAAACAGGAUUAGAUACCCUAGUAGUC